This 497-nucleotide ribosomal RNA is filed under the name uncultured bacterium. RNAcentral describes it as "partial 16S ribosomal RNA". It matches the Rfam family "Bacterial small subunit ribosomal RNA", at positions 28 to 507 of the family's 1533-position model. The record is from RNAcentral.
GAUGAACGCUGGCGGCGUGCUUAACACAUGCAAGUCGAACGGACAGACCAGCUUUUUCUUCCGCUUACCGUAGAGUCGGACGGCUAAGUAACAAGUGAAUAGCCUAUCUUUAAGACUCGGCUUACUUCGAAAAACCGGAGAUAAUAUCGAAUAAUAUAUAGGACCGCAGGGUGCAAUAGUUAGUGACGGAUUUGCUGUUACUGAUAGAUGGUUACGCGCCGCAUUAGCUGCUUGGUAAGGUAACGGCUGACUAAGGCGACGAUGGGUAGUCGACGUGAGAGGGUGAUCGGGCACAGUGGAACUGAGACACGGUCCAGACUCCUACGGGAGGCAGCAGUAGGGAAUCGGCAGCAAUGGGCGAAAGCCUGACGGAGCAACGGCGCGUGAGUGAUGAAGGUCUUCGGAUCGGAAUACUCUGUUAUUAGGGAAGAAGAAAUGUGUAAGUGACUAGGCGCGUCUUGACGGUACCUAAACAGAAAGCCACGGCUAACUACGUG